RNAcentral lists this transfer RNA (73 nucleotides) under Buchnera aphidicola (Aphis glycines). Its description in RNAcentral is "tRNA-Thr". It matches the Rfam family "tRNA". Rfam says of the family: Transfer RNA (tRNA) molecules are approximately 80 nucleotides in length. The record is from RNAcentral. Lineage: Bacteria; Pseudomonadati; Pseudomonadota; Gammaproteobacteria; Enterobacterales; Erwiniaceae.
GCUGAUAUAGCUCAGCAGGAAGAGCGCGCCCUUGGUAAGGGUGAGGUCCCCAGUUCAAGUCUGGGUAUCAGCA